ACAGUGACUUUCCCAGGAUCAGAGAGGACAACCCCCGGUCCUGACAGCGCCGGUGCAAAUAACAUCAUGUACCGCGUUGUCCUGCCUCUAGGCAUAUUUCUAUUGGUUGCCGGUGCGAUUAUCAUCUUUUGCUGUUACAAGUACAAGGCCUGGCGCCGGCGUGAACAAAAACAGGCAACUGAUCUAGUGAUGG
Bufo bufo (common toad) is the source of this 193-nucleotide long non-coding RNA. RefSeq lists it as uncharacterized. The transcript is spliced from 3 exons. NCBI's taxonomy places the organism in Eukaryota, Metazoa, Chordata, Amphibia, Anura, Bufonidae. The record is from RefSeq and is a predicted model, not a curated record.